Molecule: ribosomal RNA, 638 nt
Filed under: uncultured fungus
Lineage: Eukaryota; Fungi
Description: eukaryotic LSU rRNA
Rfam family: Eukaryotic large subunit ribosomal RNA
Source: RNAcentral
AAGCAUAUCAAUAAGCGGAGGAAAAGAAACUAACAAGGAUUCCCCUAGUAACUGCGAGUGAAGCGGGAAGAGCUCAAAUUUAAAAUCUGGCGUGCCUCUGGUCGUCCGAGUUGUAGUCUGGAGAAGCGUUUUCCGUGUUGGACCGUGUACAAGUCUCUUGGAACAGGGCGUCAUAGAGGGUGAGAAUCCCGUCUUUGACACGGACUACCAAUGCUUUGUGAUGCGCUCUCAAAGAGUCGAGUUGUUUGGGAAUGCAGCUCAAAAUGGGUGGUAAAUUCCAUCUAAAGCUAAAUAUAGGCGAGAGACCGAUAGCGAACAAGUACCGUGAGGGAAAGAUGAAAAGCACUUUGGAAAGAGAGUUAAACAGUACGUGAAAUUGCUGAAAGGGAAACGCUUGAAGUCAGUCACGUCUGCCAGGACUCAGCCUCGCUUCUGCUUGGUGCACUUUCUGGUUUGAUGGGCCAACAUCAAUUUUGACCGCUGGAGAAAGGCUUUGGGAAUGUGGCACCUUCGGGUGUGUUAUAGCCCUUUGUCGUAUGCAACGGUUGGGAUUGAGGACUGCAGCACGCCUUCAUGGCCGGGGUUCGCCCACGUACGUGCUUAGGAUGUUGGCAUAAUGGCUUUAAGCGACCCGUCUU